This 2834-nucleotide ribosomal RNA is filed under the name Staphylococcus aureus. Its description in RNAcentral is "23S ribosomal RNA". It matches the Rfam family "Bacterial large subunit ribosomal RNA". Lineage: Bacteria; Bacillati; Bacillota; Bacilli; Caryophanales; Staphylococcaceae. The record is from RNAcentral.
GAUUAAGUUAUUAAGGGCGCACGGUGGAUGCCUUGGCACUAGAAGCCGAUGAAGGACGUUACUAACGACGAUAUGCUUUGGGGAGCUGUAAGUAAGCUUUGAUCCAGAGAUUUCCGAAUGGGGAAACCCAGCAUGAGUUAUGUCAUGUUAUCGAUAUGUGAAUACAUAGCAUAUCAGAAGGCACACCCGGAGAACUGAAACAUCUUAGUACCCGGAGGAAGAGAAAGAAAAUUCGAUUCCCUUAGUAGCGGCGAGCGAAACGGGAAGAGCCCAAACCAACAAGCUUGCUUGUUGGGGUUGUAGGACACUCUAUACGGAGUUACAAAGGACGACAUUAGACGAAUCAUCUGGAAAGAUGAAUCAAAGAAGGUAAUAAUCCUGUAGUCGAAAAUGUUGUCUCUCUUGAGUGGAUCCUGAGUACGACGGAGCACGUGAAAUUCCGUCGGAAUCUGGGAGGACCAUCUCCUAAGGCUAAAUACUCUCUAGUGACCGAUAGUGAACCAGUACCGUGAGGGAAAGGUGAAAAGCACCCCGGAAGGGGAGUGAAAUAGAACCUGAAACCGUGUGCUUACAAGUAGUCAGAGCCCGUUAAUGGGUGAUGGCGUGCCUUUUGUAGAAUGAACCGGCGAGUUACGAUUUGAUGCAAGGUUAAGCAGUAAAUGUGGAGCCGUAGCGAAAGCGAGUCUGAAUAGGGCGUUUAGUAUUUGGUCGUAGACCCGAAACCAGGUGAUCUACCCUUGGUCAGGUUGAAGUUCAGGUAACACUGAAUGGAGGACCGAACCGACUUACGUUGAAAAGUGAGCGGAUGAACUGAGGGUAGCGGAGAAAUUCCAAUCGAACCUGGAGAUAGCUGGUUCUCUCCGAAAUAGCUUUAGGGCUAGCCUCAAGUGAUGAUUAUUGGAGGUAGAGCACUGUUUGGACGAGGGGCCCCUCUCGGGUUACCGAAUUCAGACAAACUCCGAAUGCCAAUUAAUUUAACUUGGGAGUCAGAACAUGGGUGAUAAGGCCCGUGUUCGAAAGGGAAACAGCCCAGACCACCAGCUAAGGUCCCAAAAUAUAUGUUAAGUGGAAAAGGAUGUGGCGUUGCCCAGACAACUAGGAUGUUGGCUUAGAAGCAGCCAUCAUUUAAAGAGUGCGUAAUAGCUCACUAGUCGAGUGACACUGCGCCGAAAAUGUACCGGGGCUAAACAUAUUACCGAAGCUGUGGAUUGUCCUUUGGACAAUGGUAGGAGAGCGUUCUAAGGGCGUUGAAGCAUGAUCGUAAGGACAUGUGGAGCGCUUAGAAGUGAGAAUGCCGGUGUGAGUAGCGAAAGACGGGUGAGAAUCCCGUCCACCGAUUGACUAAGGUUUCCAGAGGAAGGCUCGUCCGCUCUGGGUUAGUCGGGUCCUAAGCUGAGGCCGACAGGCGUAGGCGAUGGAUAACAGGUUGAUAUUCCUGUACCACCUAUAAUCGUUUUAAUCGAUGGGGGGACGCAGUAGGAUAGGCGAAGCGUGCGAUUGGAUUGCACGUCUAAGCAGUAAGGCUGAGUAUUAGGCAAAUCCGGUACUCGUUAAGGCUGAGCUGUGAUGGGGAGAAGACAUUGUGUCUUCGAGUCGUUGAUUUCACACUGCCGAGAAAAGCCUCUAGAUAGAAAAUAGGUGCCCGUACCGCAAACCGACACAGGUAGUCAAGAUGAGAAUUCUAAGGUGAGCGAGCGAACUCUCGUUAAGGAACUCGGCAAAAUGACCCCGUAACUUCGGGAGAAGGGGUGCUCUUUAGGGUUAACGCCCAGAAGAGCCGCAGUGAAUAGGCCCAAGCGACUGUUUAUCAAAAACACAGGUCUCUGCUAAACCGUAAGGUGAUGUAUAGGGGCUGACGCCUGCCCGGUGCUGGAAGGUUAAGAGGAGUGGUUAGCUUCUGCGAAGCUACGAAUCGAAGCCCCAGUAAACGGCGGCCGUAACUAUAACGGUCCUAAGGUAGCGAAAUUCCUUGUCGGGUAAGUUCCGACCCGCACGAAAGGCGUAACGAUUUGGGCACUGUCUCAACGAGAGACUCGGUGAAAUCAUAGUACCUGUGAAGAUGCAGGUUACCCGCGACAGGACGGAAAGACCCCGUGGAGCUUUACUGUAGCCUGAUAUUGAAAUUCGGCACAGCUUGUACAGGAUAGGUAGGAGCCUUUGAAACGUGAGCGCUAGCUUACGUGGAGGCGCUGGUGGGAUACUACCCUAGCUGUGUUGGCUUUCUAACCCGCACCACUUAUCGUGGUGGGAGACAGUGUCAGGCGGGCAGUUUGACUGGGGCGGUCGCCUCCUAAAAGGUAACGGAGGCGCUCAAAGGUUCCCUCAGAAUGGUUGGAAAUCAUUCAUAGAGUGUAAAGGCAUAAGGGAGCUUGACUGCGAGACCUACAAGUCGAGCAGGGUCGAAAGACGGACUUAGUGAUCCGGUGGUUCCGCAUGGAAGGGCCAUCGCUCAACGGAUAAAAGCUACCCCGGGGAUAACAGGCUUAUCUCCCCCAAGAGUUCACAUCGACGGGGAGGUUUGGCACCUCGAUGUCGGCUCAUCGCAUCCUGGGGCUGUAGUCGGUCCCAAGGGUUGGGCUGUUCGCCCAUUAAAGCGGUACGCGAGCUGGGUUCAGAACGUCGUGAGACAGUUCGGUCCCUAUCCGUCGUGGGCGUAGGAAAUUUGAGAGGAGCUGUCCUUAGUACGAGAGGACCGGGAUGGACAUACCUCUGGUGUACCAGUUGUCGUGCCAACGGCAUAGCUGGGUAGCUAUGUGUGGACGGGAUAAGUGCUGAAAGCAUCUAAGCAUGAAGCCCCCCUCAAGAUGAGAUUUCCCAACUUCGGUUAUAAGAUC